AUUGAACGCUGGCGGCAGGCUUAACACAUGCAAGUCGAGCGGGGUGAUGGUGCUUGCACUAUCACUUAGCGGCGGACGGGUGAGUAAUGCUUAGGAAUCUGCCUAUUAGUGGGGGACAACACCUCGAAAGGGAUGCUAAUACCGCAUACGUCCUACGGGAGAAAGCAGGGGAUCACUUGUGACCUUGCGCUAAUAGAUGAGCCUAGGUCGGAUUAGCUAGUUGGUGGGGUAAAGGCCUACCAAGGCGACGAUCUGCAGCGGGUCUGAGAGGAUGAUCCGCCACACUGGGACUGAGACACGGCCCAGACUCCUACGGGAGGCAGCAGUGGGGAAUAUUGGACAAUGGGGGGAACCCUGAUCCAGCCAUGCCGCGUGUGUGAAGAAGGCCUUAUGGUUGUAAAGCACUUUAAGCGAGGAGGAGGCUCUUUUGGUUAAUACCCAAGAUGAGUGGACGUUACUCGCAGAAUAAGCACCGGCUAACUCUGUGCCAGCCGCCGCCGUAA
This 503-nucleotide ribosomal RNA is filed under the name uncultured bacterium. RNAcentral's name for it is "partial 16S ribosomal RNA". It matches the Rfam family "Bacterial small subunit ribosomal RNA", at positions 30 to 523 of the family's 1533-position model. The record is from RNAcentral.